RNAcentral lists this ribosomal RNA (253 nucleotides) under uncultured bacterium. RNAcentral's name for it is "partial 16S ribosomal RNA". It matches the Rfam family "Bacterial small subunit ribosomal RNA", at positions 524 to 776 of the family's 1533-position model. The record is from RNAcentral.
CACGAACCGUACGAACGUUAUUCGGAAUUACUGGGCUUAAAGGGUUUGUAGGCGGCCUUGUAAGUCAGGUGUGAAAGCCCUCGGCUCAACCGAGGAACAGCGCUUGAUACUGCAAGGCUUGAGGGAGACAGGGGUAAGCGGAACUGAUGGUGGAGCGGUGAAAUGCGUUGAUAUCAUCAGGAACACCGGUGGCGAAAGCGGCUUACUGGGUCUCUUCUGACGCUGAGGAACAAAAGCUAGGGUAGCGAACAGG